UACAGAGGGGGCAAGCGUUGUUCGGAAUCACUGGGCGUAAAGGGCGCGUAGGCGGCCGAUCAAGUCGGGGGUGAAAGCCUGUGGCUCAACCACAGAAUUGCCUUCGAUACUGUUUGGCUUGAGACCGGAAGAGGUAAGUGGAACUGCGAGUGUAGAGGUGAAAUUCGUAGAUAUUCGCAAGAACACCAGUGGCGAAGGCGGCUCACUGGCCCGAUACUGACGCUGAGGCACGAAAGCGUGGGGAGCAAACAGG
RNAcentral lists this ribosomal RNA (253 nucleotides) under uncultured bacterium. Its description in RNAcentral is "partial 16S ribosomal RNA". It matches the Rfam family "Bacterial small subunit ribosomal RNA", at positions 524 to 776 of the family's 1533-position model. The record is from RNAcentral.